This 620-nucleotide long non-coding RNA is filed under the name Prunus persica (peach). Its description in RNAcentral is "long non-coding RNA (PPER_LNC005177)". Lineage: Eukaryota; Viridiplantae; Streptophyta; Magnoliopsida; Rosales; Rosaceae. The record is from RNAcentral.
AUUUUUUAAAGAGAGGCGUCGGACUCACGUGUUCUAUUUAGUGAGCGUGCUAUUUAGAGAACCACUUUUCAAACUCACUGUAUUAGACGAGCGAGUGAGGCUUUUUUUUCUCACUAUUGGACUCAUUUAAGUUAGUCCCGUCUCUUACCAAACAAGGGUUUCAAGUGCUAAUUAACCCAAUCCAGUCCAAUGAGGCGUACCAAACAUGGCCUUUAGUCAUUAAGGUAAUUUCGUCCAUGAUCAACCACGCCAUAAGGCUCACUGAAGGGUGUGGUAGGGAGAUGCCUCGCCACUUCAAGUGUGGGAGUAAGAAACACCCAUCUUUCCUUCUUUCUCUCUCCUCUCUCUCUCUCCCCCUCAAAUAUAUAAAAUCGAAGCGAAACUUGUUUGCUUCAUCAAACUAUGUUAAUCUUGUUAGUUUGGUAUACGUUGUUGGUCUUUUCUGCAGUAGCUAAUUGGAGAAUAUGGUAUUGAAGCUCGUUGCAGGGCAGUUUUGUGCAUGUUAUUUUUGGACUAAUAUGCGAGUUUUGUGUUAUCCUGAAGUUCUUUUGGUGUCGUCGAUAUUUUCAUUGCAGGCAUCACUACUCCAUGAAAGUUGGGUUCACUCAGUUGCUGCAUUU